Phenylobacterium zucineum HLK1 is the source of this 95-nucleotide regulatory RNA element. It matches the Rfam family "Repression of heat shock gene expression (ROSE) element". Rfam says of the family: This family represents a 5' UTR cis-regulatory element found in heat shock mRNAs and is known as the ROSE (repression of heat shock gene expression) element. The ROSE element is a negative regulator of heat shock gene expression. The record is from Rfam. NCBI's taxonomy places the organism in Bacteria, Pseudomonadati, Pseudomonadota, Alphaproteobacteria, Caulobacterales, Caulobacteraceae.
CCGGGCGCCGCCAUGGGCCCGGCAGACGGUCGCGGGGACCCUCCCCGCGGCCCUCUCGUCACCAUGUUGCUUUUCGGAGGAUAUGGUCAUGAGAA